Athene cunicularia (burrowing owl) is the source of this 82-nucleotide small nucleolar RNA. Its record names the gene SNORD24. It matches the Rfam family "Small nucleolar RNA SNORD24". From Rfam's summary of the family: U24 is a member of the C/D class of snoRNA which contain the C (UGAUGA) and D (CUGA) box motifs. C/D box snoRNAs have been shown to act as methylation guides for a number of RNA targets. NCBI's taxonomy places the organism in Eukaryota, Metazoa, Chordata, Aves, Strigiformes, Strigidae. The record is from Ensembl.
UGCCACAAUGAUGACAGUUAUUUGCUACUCUUGACCAACAAAAUGAUGAGCACUUAUACCACCAUAACCUUCCUCUGAGGCA